CGCGGGAGAGCCGACGGACAAGGCCCCGGUUGGGAAACCUCUGCCCCCCACGGCUAGGAGAACAACAGGCCUCUUUUCCAAGGAGAGAGGUCAAAACCUGAGGAACUGCAACUCAUUAAACCCUCAGCCUAAAGGGAAAGAAGCAGUGAGCAACAACGCUGGGACGCAGGCAACGGGGAGGGAAAAGGCAGCUCUGCAGACGUGCCAGAAACAGUUAAAACCUUUGAGAGGGGGAAAAAGCUGCAGGCGAGCUCCAGGUGCAUACCGACAGCUGCUUCCUCCUGCUUGAUACGCAUCUCUGAGCACUUCACUUGCUGGGGAAAAGACAACAUGAAUACGUUCAAUCCUGUGAAGAAUGGAUUUACAGUGGCAGUGCAGCCACCACCAUACCAAAUGCAGUUCUGCCGUGCCAUAGUUUCAUUUUGAUAGCAUCAAAAUUAUCUGUUUACGCCAGGGAAAAAUCGAGGGACAGAAAUGACUGCUCAGCUGCACGCUCGGCAGGCAGGGACCUGCGAGCAGGGCCCCGCGGCUCCUCCCGCGCCACGGGAAGGGUGGCUCGCCGGGACAGGGCGUCUCGUGAGCCUGCUGACGGAAAGCAGCACCCCGCGCCAAGGCGGCCCUGCCCUUCGCAGGCAGCAGCGGUCUCCGGGGCACCCCAGCCGAAACGGGGCACAGGCCCCGAGGUGCAAAGCAGCGAAAGAGCCAAAGGUAAAUGCAAGUUCAAAGGAGACCCAACCAUCCGCAUCAUUGUUCUCCUGACUCAAAACCCUGAAAUCUGGACCAACAGAACAAACAACUCAUACCCAAACCUCAAAACCUCGGAGCAGCUCCUGCAGCUCCAGCAAAGGUUACUAGGAAGAGCAGUAAGGGCAGGGACCGGAGAGCUACAGGUGCUGUGGAAUAAUCACGUCCUCAGAUCACCUCCCCGAAAUCAAAAAGCGACGUGGAAGGGAGGAGGAACCAAGCCUGCUGCUGGAUGUUCGUUUUUCGGCACACCCCGAUUUAGGCAGGAAGCGCGGAGCGUGCCGAGGCGGGGCAGGAGCGCUGGCCGGGCUCCCGCGAGCCACCCGGGAUCGCUCACCCCCCGCGGCCGCAGUCUGACUGCAGCGCAGAGCCAGGCUCACGUCUUUCUGCACGGGACGGAGAUGCUCAGGGCUACCUCGGAGGCCGGCCGCCUUCGGCUCCCUGCCCGGAAGGGCCUCCCAGGGCAGCACCGCGGGGCUCGAGCCCUGCAACACCGGCACCUGCCCACCUAGGGCACCAGAGCCCAGGAAAACGGGCACAACUAACAGCACCAAACUAGCAAAUACAGCAUCAAUAACUCUUCAGCCUCCUUUCCAAGGGGCUCUUUGGUUAUUUCAGGUCCUGAUUUCUGCAACCAUAUUCAGACUUCAUUUAGAAUAAACGUUAAUGAGAAACGUGAUGAGAAAGCAUGUGAUGUUACUGAUACGCCCUUCCCACACACCACCAGAUUCAACGUGCAAUGUUAAAAAGGUUAAUGUCAGUGAUAAAAUUAUAAAUUCCUUGAAGAUUUUCUAACACUCCUCCUGUUCUGUUUCCUCUUGUGGUGGGCACGAUUUCAGCUCUCGCGGUCCUUGUUUCGGUCCUCCACGGCAGCAAACACGUUGAUACACAAAGCAGUAAGGGCAGCGCGGGCUGCGCUCGCUACCCGCCGCGGCCGCUGCUCGGACGAGCAGGCAGAACAGCCCGCGGCCCAAGUCGGGGGCAAAUACCUGACCUAACGUUACCUUGUCAGCCCAAAGCACCCCCGUAUCCCACUGCAGAAAACCUUGCGUUACUCGCAUAAACAAUUUUUAUACCUGCUUCUAAAUAAAGAACAGAAAAACA
Dromaius novaehollandiae (emu) is the source of this 1848-nucleotide long non-coding RNA. RefSeq lists it as uncharacterized. Lineage: Eukaryota; Metazoa; Chordata; Aves; Casuariiformes; Dromaiidae. The record is from RefSeq and is a predicted model, not a curated record. The transcript is spliced from 2 exons.